GAUGAACGCUAGCUACAGGCUUAACACAUGCAAGUCGAGGGGAAACGACAUCGAAAGCUUGCUUUUGAUGGGCGUCGACCGGCGCACGGGUGAGUAACGCGUAUCCAACCUGCCCAUCACUUGGGAAUAACCUUGCGAAAGUAAGACUAAUACCCAAUGAUAUCCCACGAAGGCAUCGGAAUGGGAUUAAAGAUUUAUCGGUGAUGGAUGGGGAUGCGUCUGAUUAGCUUGUUGGCGGGGUAACGGCCCACCAAGGCAACGAUCAGUAGGGGUUCUGAGAGGAAGGUCCCCCACAUUGGAACUGAGACACGGUCCAAACUCCUACGGGAGGCAGCAGUGAGGAAUAGUGGUCAAUGGGCGAGAGCCUGAACCAGCCAAGUAGCGUGCAGGAAGACGGCCCUAUGGGUUGUAAACUGCUUUUAUAAGGGAAUAAAGUGGGUCACGUGUGACUUUUUGCAUGUACCUUAUGAAUAAGGACCGGCUAAUUCCGUG
This 492-nucleotide ribosomal RNA is filed under the name uncultured bacterium. Its description in RNAcentral is "partial 16S ribosomal RNA". It matches the Rfam family "Bacterial small subunit ribosomal RNA", at positions 28 to 507 of the family's 1533-position model. The record is from RNAcentral.